This 262-nucleotide long non-coding RNA is filed under the name Elaeis guineensis (African oil palm). RNAcentral's name for it is "long non-coding RNA (EGUI_LNC076377)". The record is from RNAcentral. Lineage: Eukaryota; Viridiplantae; Streptophyta; Magnoliopsida; Arecales; Arecaceae.
CGGAGGGUCGGCUGGAGGUGGACUUCGGAUGGCGUUGAGGAGAUCCGUCCGCUGGAGGAGUCAGGGGAUCUUGUGGAAGUCUGGAUGGUAUUGUUGAAGUUUGACUGACGCUAUUGAAGGUUGAUGGCUGGGGAGGUUCGGCAGACACCAGAGGUGAUCGGCCGUUGUAGAAAUUCAGCUGCUGGAGCCCGUCUGUUGUGGAAGCUCGUCCGAAAUCCAUCUGCUAUGGAAGUUCGAACGGAGCCCGAUUCUUGCAGAAGGC